RNAcentral lists this ribosomal RNA (468 nucleotides) under uncultured bacterium. RNAcentral describes it as "partial 16S ribosomal RNA". It matches the Rfam family "Bacterial small subunit ribosomal RNA", at positions 28 to 507 of the family's 1533-position model. The record is from RNAcentral.
GACGAACGCUGGCGGCGUGCUUAACACAUGCAAGUCGAACGGAAAGGCCCUGCUUUUGUGGGGUGCUCGAGUGGCGAACGGGUGAGUAACACGUGAGUAACCUGCCCUUGACUUUGGGAUAACUUCAGGAAACUGGGGCUAAUACCGGCUAGGAGCUCCUGCUGCAUGGUGGGGGUUGGACAGUUUCGGCGGUUGGGGAUGGACUCGCGGCUUAUCAGCUUGUUGGUGGGGUAGUGGCUUACCAAGGCUUUGACGGGUAGCCGGCCUGAGAGGGUGACCGGCCACAUGGGGACUGAGAGACGGACCAGACUCCUACGGGAGGCAGCAGGGGGGAAUAUUGCACAAUGGGCGGAAGCCUGAGGCAGCAACGCCGCGUGCGGGAUGAAGGCCUUCGGGUUGUAAACCGCUUUCGCCUGUGACGAAGCGUGAGUGACGGUAAUGGGUAAAGAAGCACCGGCUAACUACGUG